GCCUAGCUAUAAUCACCACACGCCAAAAAAGUUACAAGCGCAAGCUUAAAACUUAAAAGACCUGGCGGUACUCUAUAUCACCCUAGAGGGGCCUGUCUAGUAAUCGAUACUACACGAAAAACCUAACCUCUUCUAGCCACUUCAGCCUAUAUACCGCCGUCGAAAGCUUAUCUCACAAGAAAUAGAAGCUAAAAAGUAUAAUUAGACUAACACGUCAGGUCAAGGUGUAGCAUAUGAAAAGGAUAAGAUUGGCCACAGUACAACACAUACGAAAAACACCGCGAAAUACGUAAUUAAUAAGAAUUUAGUAGUAAGAAAACCAACGAAUAACUUUCUGAAACUUUCCCGCCCUAGAGUAUGC
RNAcentral lists this ribosomal RNA (361 nucleotides) under Aphaniotis fusca (Dusky earless agama). RNAcentral's name for it is "12S ribosomal RNA". The record is from RNAcentral. Lineage: Eukaryota; Metazoa; Chordata; Lepidosauria; Squamata; Agamidae.